AAUUGCAGCAGUUUCUGGUGGAAUCUCCUGUCUCUACUACUACUCCUCUCCAAACUUGGCUUAUCUUGACCAAGUCGAAGAAGAGCCUGCUCGAAAAGUUGCUCUUAAACCAGAUAAAUGGAUUGAAUUUAAGUUGCAAGACACUGCAAGAGUUAGCCAUAAUACUCAAUUAUUCAGGUUCUCAUUUGAUCCCUCUGCCAAGUUGGGCUUAGACAUUGCCUCAUGCAUCCUUACUAGGGCUUCAUUAGGACAAGAUGCUGAAGGAAAAACA
RNAcentral lists this unclassified non-coding RNA (271 nucleotides) under Hevea brasiliensis (rubber tree). Lineage: Eukaryota; Viridiplantae; Streptophyta; Magnoliopsida; Malpighiales; Euphorbiaceae. The record is from RNAcentral.